RNAcentral lists this transfer RNA (68 nucleotides) under Marmota monax (woodchuck). Its description in RNAcentral is "tRNA.Ala". Lineage: Eukaryota; Metazoa; Chordata; Mammalia; Rodentia; Sciuridae. The record is from RNAcentral.
GGUAUAGCUCAGUUGGUAGAGCGCUUAUCUUGCAUAGCUCAAGGCCCUGGGUUCAAUCCCCAGCACCA